This 406-nucleotide ribosomal RNA is filed under the name Althepus christae. RNAcentral describes it as "partial 16S ribosomal RNA". It matches the Rfam family "Bacterial large subunit ribosomal RNA", at positions 1858 to 2601 of the family's 2925-position model. Lineage: Eukaryota; Metazoa; Arthropoda; Arachnida; Araneae; Ochyroceratidae. The record is from RNAcentral.
CCUGCUCAAUGAAUCUUAAAUAGCCGCUAUUUAGUGCUAAGGUAGCACAAUCACUUGUCUUUUAAUUUUAGAAUAGAAUGAAGGGAUAAACGAGUUAAAAACUUUAUUUAAUUUACUUUAUUAAACUUAUUUAAAAGUAAAAAAGCUUUUAUUAUUUGAUCAGACGACAAGACCCUUUAGAACUUUACUUAAAGUUUGGCUGGGGUGGCUAUUAUUACUUAUAAAAACUAUCAAAUAAUCAUAAACAUCCACCGCUAAAAUAUAACAAGUUACCUAAGGGAUAACAGAACAAUAUUAUUUUAAAGUACUUAUAAUAAAUAAUUAUUGUUACCUCGAUGUUGAAUUACUUUUCUCUUAAAAGAAAAUUUUUAAAAAGUAAGUCUGUUCGACUUUUAAUAAAGUACAU